GCGCGGAUGUCUGCGCAGACAGAUCGUUGCGUGUGGACUGGGCUUUAGAAAGAGCUAUGGUGAAAGCAAUGGCUGCAGUACAAAACUGUUCAGCCCUUACAUGGGUUAAAGAAGUUUGCUGAGAAAAAACUUCCCUCCUUUGGCAAACAAGAAUGGGUAGCAAUGUGAAGAACUGUUGAUGGAGGUGACAACAAGAAACAUGUCCAUUGCGAAAAACUAAUGGAUGAAAUGGAAUAAUUGAUUCUUGAUUUCCAUGCUGAUAAUACUGCGUUCAUCAACAACAACAAUCUUUACAUACUCAUAAAGAUGCACUGAAAGACAUGCUGUUAUAAAGUGAGGCUACCAGAGUGUAACAUGGCAGAAUUACUCAGUGCAUGGUGUAGACUACUGGAGUGUCAUGGUGAAAGAAUGAUAUUGUGAAAAUGUGAGGAUGAGCAUAUGAUUACUGUGUUGUCAUGAGAUUUGGUAUUUAUCAUACAGAAAAAUUUACAUUCUGCUAAAUUGCGUAUCUGAUUCAUGUGAUGUAUAUAAUUGAAACACUGACUACAUCUAUGUGACUGCAUCUAUAUAAUGAAAAUUAUCUACA
Molecule: long non-coding RNA, 586 nt
Organism: Schistocerca nitens (vagrant locust)
Lineage: Eukaryota; Metazoa; Arthropoda; Insecta; Orthoptera; Acrididae
Exons: 3
Source: RefSeq, a predicted model, not a curated record